GGAGGAGUCGCAUAGAGGCCUAGUGCACACGCUUGGAAAGCGUGCAUCCGCAAGGAUUCGUGGGUUCGAAUCCCACCUCCUCCGCCA
This 87-nucleotide transfer RNA is filed under the name Candidatus Doudnabacteria bacterium RIFCSPHIGHO2_01_43_10. RNAcentral's name for it is "tRNA-Ser". It matches the Rfam family "tRNA". From Rfam's summary of the family: Transfer RNA (tRNA) molecules are approximately 80 nucleotides in length. Lineage: Bacteria; Candidatus Doudnaibacteriota. The record is from RNAcentral. RNAcentral also lists the same sequence under 7 other names.